ACUAAAAUGACAGAAUAAAUGUGUAAAAUUUAGGAUUUUAUUAUGAAGAAACAUCUUCUUUUAGUA
This 66-nucleotide transfer RNA is filed under the name Laomedia astacina. RNAcentral's name for it is "tRNA-Leu". The record is from RNAcentral. Lineage: Eukaryota; Metazoa; Arthropoda; Malacostraca; Decapoda; Laomediidae.